CCUACGGGAGGCAGCAGUGAGGAAUCUUCCGCAAUGGGCGAAAGCCUGACGGAGCAACGCCGCGUGAAGGAAGAAGUAUUUCGGUAUGUAAACUUCUAUCAGCAGGGAAGAAAAUGACGGUACCUGACUAAGAAGCCCCGGCUAACUACGUGCCAGCAGCCGCGGUAAUACGUAGGGGGCAAGCGUUAUCCGGAUUUACUGGGUGUAAAGGGAGCGUAGGCGGUUUAGCAAGUCAGAAGUGAAAGCCCGGGGCUCAACUCCGGGACUGCUUUUGAAACUGUUGAACUAGAUUGCAGGAGAGGUAAGUGGAAUUCCUAGUGUAGCGGUGAAAUGCGUAGAUAUUAGGAGGAAUACCGUUAGCGAAGGUGGCAAUCUGGCUGGAAACUGACGCUGAGGUGCGAAAGCGUGGGUAGCAAACAGGAUUAGAUACCCUGGUAGUC
This 440-nucleotide ribosomal RNA is filed under the name uncultured bacterium. Its description in RNAcentral is "partial 16S ribosomal RNA". It matches the Rfam family "Bacterial small subunit ribosomal RNA", at positions 338 to 795 of the family's 1533-position model. The record is from RNAcentral.